UAACCUGCCCAAGAGAUCGGGAUAACACCUGGAAACAGAUGCUAAUACCGGAUAAUAACAGAUGAUGCCUAUCAACUGUUUAAAAGAUGGUUCUACUAUCACUCUUGGAUGGACCUGCGGUGCAUUAGCUAGUUGGUAGGGUAACGGCCUACCAAGGCGAUGAUGCAUAGCCGAGUUGAGAGACUGAUCGGCCACAUUGGGACUGAGACACGGCCCAAACUCCUACGGGAGGCAGCAGAU
This 240-nucleotide ribosomal RNA is filed under the name uncultured Lactobacillus sp. RNAcentral's name for it is "partial 16S ribosomal RNA". It matches the Rfam family "Bacterial small subunit ribosomal RNA", at positions 122 to 354 of the family's 1533-position model. Lineage: Bacteria; Bacillati; Bacillota; Bacilli; Lactobacillales; Lactobacillaceae. The record is from RNAcentral.